AAGAGUUGGGAGCUUAACCAACUGAGCCACCCAGGCGCCCCUGUCCAUGUUAGUAUUUAAGAUAGAUUUACUUCUUUUUCUUUUUGCCCUGUUGCAUGCCUUUCCACGAUAUAUGAAUAGGCCAAAGUUAAUUGAAUCAUCCCCCUAUUAAUUUACACUUAGGUGACUUAGUGUUUUACAUUCUAAAGGAUUUUGUGAGCCAUGUAAUCUCUUCAUGUAGCUGGUUCUAACAAAAAUGCACUUUGCAUAGACUAGGAAUGCCCAACCCAAUACUUCAGAGCAUGCUAUAGUAAUCUCAUUUAAGUCAAUGUAGAUUGUCUACCAACUUUAAUCCAGGAGCAAAUAAGUCCAACAAGCAAGAAACCUAAAGGGAGUAUAUGUUGUGGGAAGUGUAUGUUGAGGCAGAGGUCCAGAGCAGGGUUUGCACAUCCUUCCAGACUCCAAAGAAGAGGUGAGGUUGGGGAAGGAUGGAGAAAGAGGGGUAUGUAACAGUCAGCCUGAAAAAGUGAUGCUCUAUGAUCAUGCAACCUCUAAUUAUACCAAUUUCUAAUUAUGUUGUCAUAUUCCCUUAUUCUUUUUUUUACAUGUAAAAUUUCUGUCUUGAAUUUGGCCAAAUCUCGGUGAUUUUCUUGCUGAUACUACAAUUAAUUCAUUUGUAUUAUUUUUAUCAUCACUUGAAGCAAGUCUUUGUUACUAUUUAUAAGAAUUAUCCUUUCCAUUGCACUUGCUGAAUUACAUAAAAAGUGUCAUUAGAAACCAUGAAAUGUCUGUAGAGAAAAGGAAUCAUAAGUUAACCAGUAACUUGUCCAAAGAGUGCCAGCCAGCAAGGCUCCCUCCACAGGGUAACUCUGGCAUUGGGCAGGGCACUUGACCUCUCUGAACCUCAGUUUUCUCAUCUGUAAAAUGAGGCUAAAACCCCUGGUGAGGCCAGCAGGUGAGAUAAUGAGUCAGGCCAUGGAGUAGGGGCCAGUCUUCAGGGCCAACCAUUUGUGGGCAUUCUAGACUCCAAGAUCAAUAAUGCCAGAAUCCCUGCUUUUCUCAGCGGAGAAGCAGGGGCAGUUGGGGGGGGGGGCGUGGUAGUGUCCAAUUUCCAUUAGAAAUCUCUCAAAGUCUAGAUGUUAGCAAAUAAGACAAAACUUUACAAAACACACCAUAUUUUUUGUAAAGGGCUAAAUAAACUUGGGGCCAAAUAAUGUGUAAGUUCCGGCUAAAUUGAGCCUUUGGGCCACGGUAUUUAUCAUCUUGGUGCUGCACUAGUUACAAACAUCAUUUUGCUCUAAAUUUCUGCAAUUUGAUUUUAGCAGUUUCUCAAAACAGGGAGAGAGUAGCGAUGUUGAGCCCACAUUCUGAGUUCAGACUGGGUGGAACUGUCCACCCACACAGUUUGUUCUGAAGUGCCCUGAGUGAAAACCAGUCCCUGGCCUGUCUGUUCAGCUCAUCCUCUGGUUCUACCGCCAUGGCCAGGCCCAGCUCAGCAACUUGAACCUGGGAGGUACAUUGCUGUUGCCUCAGGCAAUAAAUAGAUUUAGGAGAUGGGCUGGAGACAGCUCCUCCUUUGAUAUCUGCGGAAGGUGAGGUUCAUGGUUUGAGGUAUGGUUUAUCGUUCUUUUUGCCUUAAAGUUCCAGACAGAGCAGAAAUACAGCCAGCAAAUAUCAGGAGCUGAAUACCAGCUGCAUUUAGGGAAGAUGCUUUCUCAACUGGUUUCAUGUUUAAAUUUUAAGAAUGAAGUUGAAACAAACGGAAAGUGUAACAGACACCAAUUUAUUCGUCCCUGAGAUUAGGCAAGUAUUAAUAGGCUUUGACCCGUUUGUUCUCAGGUCUCUCCCUUUAGGGAAAACAACAUGUAUAUAUAUAAAAAGUCAUCCACAUGUUCUUUGCCCCCUCUUUUGUGCACAGUUCUGUAUUUAUCCAUUUUGUGUGUGUGUGUGUGUGUGUGUGUGUGUGUGUGUGUGUGUGUGUUAGUCACUAUGAAAAAUAAAUGUUUUCGUUUUGUGGUCCUUCAAAUGCAAUAAAUGGUUUCACAUUCAUAAGCUUGCUCCCCUCACUCCAUAUUAUGGUUUUGGAUUUUAUCCAUGUUGAUACAUAUAGAUGUGAUUCAUGUAUACACAUAUGGAUGUGAUGGUUGAUGCAUAGUAUACAGUUAUACAAAUAAAGCACAGUCUAUUUUUCCAUUCCCCCCGAGCACAGGAAGUUGGUUUCCAUGGUUUUGUUUUACAAAGUCGCGACAACAUAACUGCUCCAUGUAGGUACCAUUGUGACAACUAGAUUUGGAAUUCCUAGGUAGAAUUCAAAGGGAAAGCAUACUUUAAGUUGCAUGAGGAAUUGCCAAACAGACUCCAAAAUGGUGGAGCCAAUAAUGUGCCAGAGUAUCUGCUUCCCUACAUCCUCAGCAAAACUUGAUGUGUUUCGAUGUUAAAAAUCAAGGUAGUCGACCUUGGCUGUCACGCUUAAAGCUGCACAAAUUACCACUUGUACAUAUUUGAUGAUAUUGUGCCAUUAUCAAAAUAUGAGUAAGGUGUGUACAUGAAGAGUUGAAAACACAUCAAAAAACAGUGAACAUUUGGCAACAGGAAAGGAGAAAAGGAGACAUACAUUGGAAACCAACAUGCCACACCUUGCCUAUCAGCUUAAGCUCUAAACUAACUUGCCGCUACAACUUAGCCAAGAUAUUUUGUUGUUACAUGAACUUCUCAAGGAAAAUUUCUACAAGCGGAAGUUGAGAAAUUUGCAGUAUUUUCCCUCAAAUCAAAUGUCAAAGCAUAUCUGGAGAGACCCAAAACAACAAGGUGACAGUUGGGCUUAGGAUCUCUUGGACUUUUCUCUAGGUUUCUUGAAGGCCAAUCUGCCUUGAACCACGCAUCGGAAUGAAACUAAAUUGAUUUCCUUAUAUCAAGUUGACCAGUAGCUUGGUAAGCACGAUAGUACAACCUCAGUAGAUUGUAUAAUGACUGCAUUCUAAUCUCAGAAGCAAAUACAGUUGCAAGGGAAAAAAUCAAAUGGAGAUAAAGAAAAGACCUUAAGACUCCACGAUUUUGUAAAGGAGGAAAAUGCUGGAGAUUUUGACCUACACCCGUUGAAACAAAAUAUCACCUGGACCUGUUUUGAACCUCAUCAUACAUAUGACUCCUAAACUUUUUAUGUAAUCAGGUUAGCACGAAUGCAAAGCGUUUAACAUGUUCCGAUGCAAAACCAGAAGACGAAUUCCAAUUAUUCUUAACAUCCGCCCACUAACAUGCCGUAAAUGAUUUACUUGGGAAUCUAUUGCAAUAAAGUUCACCUUCAGAAAGUGGCA
Molecule: long non-coding RNA, 3293 nt
Organism: Felis catus (domestic cat)
Lineage: Eukaryota; Metazoa; Chordata; Mammalia; Carnivora; Felidae
Exons: 4
Source: RefSeq, a predicted model, not a curated record